GGUAGGUACUCGAGUGGCGAACGGGUGAGUAACACGUGGGUGAUCUGCCCUGCACUCUGGGAUAAGCCUGGGAAACUGGGUCUAAUACCGGAUAGGACCAUGCUUUAGUGUGUGUGGUGGAAAGUUUUUCGGUGUAGGAUGAGCCCGCGGCCUAUCAGCUUGUUGGUGGGGUAAUGGCCUACCAAGGCGGCGACGGGUAGCCGGACUGAGAGGUUGGUCGGCCACAUUGGGACUGAGAUACGGCCCAG
Molecule: ribosomal RNA, 248 nt
Filed under: uncultured Actinomycetales bacterium
Lineage: Bacteria; Bacillati; Actinomycetota; Actinomycetes; Actinomycetales
Description: partial 16S ribosomal RNA
Rfam family: Bacterial small subunit ribosomal RNA
Source: RNAcentral